RNAcentral lists this small nuclear RNA (160 nucleotides) under Chinchilla lanigera (long-tailed chinchilla). RNAcentral describes it as "U1 spliceosomal RNA (ENSCLAG00000018613.1)". It matches the Rfam family "U1 spliceosomal RNA". From Rfam's summary of the family: U1 is a small nuclear RNA (snRNA) component of the spliceosome (involved in pre-mRNA splicing). Its 5' end forms complementary base pairs with the 5' splice junction, thus defining the 5' donor site of an intron. Lineage: Eukaryota; Metazoa; Chordata; Mammalia; Rodentia; Chinchillidae. The record is from Rfam by way of RNAcentral.
AUACUUACCUGGCAGGGGAGAUACCGUGAUCACCAAGGUGGUUUUCCCAGGGUGAGGCUUAUCCAUUGCGCUCCGGAUGAGCUGACCCUAUGAUUUCCCCAAAUGUGGGAAACUCGACUGCAUAAUUUGUAGAGGGGGACUGCGUUCGCACUUUCCUCUG